RNAcentral lists this transfer RNA (148 nucleotides) under Candidatus Woesearchaeota archaeon. Its description in RNAcentral is "tRNA-Gln". The record is from RNAcentral. Lineage: Archaea; Nanobdellati; Candidatus Woesearchaeota.
AGCCCUGUGGUCUAGUGGUAAUGAUUCGAGGCUUUGGACCUCGAGACUCCGGUUCGAAAGUCGGGCGCUCCCGACGUAAGCAGUUGCUAUCUCGCUUUGCGACAUAGCACAAAAGUGGAACGCUGACUUGAAAGUCCGGGCGGGGCUA